GGUAAAGUUCGGAAAUGUUCGUUGAUUUCCGGUUACAUCACAAAAAUUUUAGUAUCACGGUGACCGUGGAAGCUGGUGUGUCUGUCGUCUUCUAAAGAAGUCUGCUUCUUACUGUUGUGGUUGUUAUUGUUGUGACGACCCUGUGUAUGUGUGUAUAGAUAUACACACGUAAGCGCGUGUGUGUACGUGUUACAUAAUGGAAUUACAUGUUACCGUUGCUGUUAUAGGGAGACGGGACCACUGCCACCAAAAAUAACAACACCACGAUCUCGAUUGUUACCACCUCUAACUUCAGUAACAACUUCACCCGGUAUAACUGAGGUAGGUGGCUGGUUCGCAUCUCACGAGUUAGUUUCUGAUAACUGUAAAAAUCAAUUUGUGACCCAGGACCCCAAUCUAUCACACUUUCUUUUGCCUCUCUUUUUCUCUUUCCCUUUUUAUUUCUGUUUCUGUGUUUCCAUCUCGCUUUCUUUCUCAUGUCCCUUCGUCUAUCGCUUUUAUAACUUUCAUUCUCUCCCCUCCUAUGUCUGCCUCUCUCUCUCUCUCUCUCUCUCUUUCUCUCCCCCCUCUCUCUCUCUCACUCUCUGUGAAAGCUGUGGACAGUCCUUUCUGCCAGACGAAACCAUAUGUUAAAAAGUUCACUUCGCAACUACGUAGUUUCAGGUUCGAUCUCAGUGCGUGGCACACUGAGCAUAUCUCUUUUAUCAUCGCUUCGGUAGACGAAAACUGUAGACAUCUGUUGCAUAUGUAUGUAUUUGUGUUUGUAUUUAUACCGGUUUUGAGAUUGAUGUUCUUUGGUUGUGUCCCUUUAUGCCCUGUAAUUGUGCGGUUCAACAAAGAGGUAUCGACAAAACAAGUACCCCACUUAUAUUUGGUUCUCUUGAAGGGCUUUAGUCGAUCAUGCCGGUCUUUGACUAUAACUUCCUUUCCUUCUACAACCUUUGUACUCAUAUCAAACCCAUUCCACCCAUUAUGUUACGUUAUCAUAGUUAUAUCAAACUACAUCGUAUGAUAUGCUCGCCCCACUUUUUAUUUUUAAGAGCGUAAGGCAGUGGUCAUCAACCAGUUUUUACAUAUGGACCCUUUUGAUUACUGUUUUACUCUACUUGACCCCUAUAGCUAUUUGAGGUUUAGAAAAUCCUAUUAUAUUUUCAUAAUUCAAUAUCAAUAGGAAUUGUGUUAAAAAAUGUUAGACUAUUUUAUGUGUUGAAGAAGUGUAACCAAUUUAUCGCGCAUAAAUUUUAACAACAAAAUCUUAUAUGAACCCCUAAGGGCCAUAUAAACCUCGGUUGAGAAACACUGGCAUAGGGUGCACUGUGAAAGGGAUUUGGUUACUAUUUCUAAUAGAUAGAACGAAAUGAAAAGGCAUUAUAUAAAUAAGGGUAUUGAUCGUAUCUCAUUACUUAACCUCUCAUUUCUAAUUCCUCUUUUCUUUCAUUCUUCAACUUUUUGUUGCUCUCGUCCCAUCCCACGUACAUAAUGUAUAUGCUAAUAUAUAUUCAACUCUCGCAAACUUAUCUGCCCCGAUGCACAUGUACAGAAAUAUAUGUUUCUAUUGCUUGCUCGUUCAUGUAUAUACAAAUAUAUCUAUCCAUUACGUAUAUACGAAUACAUCUAUCUAAUACACACACUUUUAUUUGCAAACAUAUUCCCUACACAUCUAAGUAAAUAUAUCUAACUUUCCAGUACGUAUCACACAUCUGUAUUCAAACAUCGUUUCCCGUUUCUUCUGCGAGUGAAACUUUGUUAUAAUGAAGCUUAAUACUGCGGCAAUUUAACAACCAAAAUCACAUAUAAAAAAAAAAGGAACUCAUUGUUUGAUUUUCUCAGAAAUUCCCGCUUUAAUUUGAAUAUCCUUUUAUGAACCAGCUUAUCGCUUCAAAGCACUUGUCACACUUGGAAUGAUAUUUCUGUCGGGGAGUCCUUUUUGUACGAUGGUGACUUUAAUUUUGUUAAAGUACAUCAUCAAUCUCUAUAAUACUGUCUCAAGUCCUCAGGGAUUGAAACCACAAUCUUGUGAUUGUGAGAGCAACAUUUAACCAUUAGGUCACUCACCUAUUUAUAACCACUAUUUAUUUCUUUACAGCACUACAACUGAUUCAUUCUCACUUUCCCCACCACUAAAUGUGAGUUGUCUUUACCAGAACUUGCUCUGUCCCACACCCUUCUUAUAUCCUCAUUUCCUAGCAUAAAGCUGCCCCCACACUUGGGUUUCAUAGUCUUGCAAGUUGCAUGGUGACCUCACUAGUACCAGUGGAAAAAAAA
This 2265-nucleotide long non-coding RNA is filed under the name Octopus vulgaris (common octopus). The record is from RNAcentral. Lineage: Eukaryota; Metazoa; Mollusca; Cephalopoda; Octopoda; Octopodidae.